This 1375-nucleotide long non-coding RNA is filed under the name Bemisia tabaci. RNAcentral describes it as "lncRNA ENSSSA1NGG010988". The record is from RNAcentral. Lineage: Eukaryota; Metazoa; Arthropoda; Insecta; Hemiptera; Aleyrodidae.
CUGCCGGCUUCUGCCAUCCAAAUUUGUCAGUUGGUAUUUUGUAAAAUGCGGCUCCUAUUUCAGGUCCGAACCAAUUAUUGCGAGACUUCAGAUUGGUAGUGGUUUGCGCACUACAUAGAGAGAAAGAAGGUGGGUAGAACUAUUCUAAGUCUUACUUUACAAGCCUGAGAAUCCUUGAGAGAAUAUUUGGAAUAAAGGAUUUCGAUGUGAUUGAGUUAUGAGCGUUUAGAGUUUCCAAAUUUUGUCCGACCUUCCCAAUUGACUUGAUCCACUGUGCGCCGAUGAUCAAAUCAAAGUUCGUUCCGGAGGGAGCGAUAGGACUCGCCAAUCAACAUCCGACGAAAAAUAGCGUUGAUCUCCAAAAAUUUUUGCCACUAAUAUUGGAUAGACUGUCUCUGAAACUAUCUCUGAAAUAUAUCGUCUCGGAUGUGAAGAUGAUCGUUGGCAGAAGAUACUAACAGCCACCCUAUAAUCCUCAAAUUGUUGGUCCGAACUCUCUGUGGAUCCGCAUUGGCUGCGUCCCAUUCUUCGCACCUGUGUUUCAUUCACAUAAUUUUUCAUUUCAGUUCGGAGCGCGGACAAGGGGUCGGCGGGCGGGGCGAUGGGCGCCCCUUCGGGCCCCGACCCUAGCGCGGGCUCCUCGGCGCCCCUCCGAUCGUGCGGGUCACGCUCGCCUCCCUGGACGAGUGCAACGUCCUCCUACAGAACGGCUUCGACUUCUUCGGCGCCACCUUCUUCCCUACCGAACCGGCCAUCCCCACGAGUCUCGUCCGCACCGGCGCUAAAAAACUCACCGUCAACAACAGCCGUUUAUCGGAUCUGGUAGCUUCGAACGGGCAAAGAAUUCGAGAUGCUCUCCCUGUCUUCGACGCAGCUGGCUUUGCCAAGAUUCCUCCUCCAGCGACGAAAACAAUUGUGCCGCGAUUCUAAUUCCUACGGAUCAAAUGCAGAAGAUUCUAAGGUUGCCAUUUGCACCAUAACUUUACUCAGUUUCUAUGCGUUUCUUCCAAAAUAACACAAAGUUCCUCGUGAUAAUUCCUAGUUUAACUUUAAAAUGUUUCUGUUUUGUGAACAAACAAAAUCUAUUUGUUCAAUAAAUAAUUCUAUGAAAAUACCUAACCUAACUUUUCCUUCAUACAGGGUGAUCCACGGUUAAACGGCCGGACUGCAGGAGCCGAAACACUCCCAAAUCCCCUCUUAAAAUUAAGAUUUCGAUUUUUUUAGAUCAUUUAUGAAUUAAGGGCAUAAAAGUACAGGAGAGUACAAAUUUUCAUGAGAUUUUGUUUACAACCGUUGCCAAAAUUCAGGAAAAACUUUUUACUUUCCGAAAUUUUGGGGGGCCGUAGCUCCGACUGGGGGCACUUUUGGGAAAAAC